RNAcentral lists this ribosomal RNA (477 nucleotides) under uncultured bacterium. Its description in RNAcentral is "partial 16S ribosomal RNA". It matches the Rfam family "Bacterial small subunit ribosomal RNA", at positions 30 to 507 of the family's 1533-position model. The record is from RNAcentral.
AUGAACGCUGGCGGCGUGCCUAACACAUGCAAGUCGAACGGAGUCCAGCCUUUAAGACCUUCGGGUCAAAGAGGGGAAGACUGAGUGGCGGACGGGUGAGUAACACGUGGGCAACCUGGCUCAUAGAGGGGGAUAACAGAGAGAAAUUUCUGCUAAUACCGCGUAAGCACACACUGCCGCAUGGCAGAGGGUGAAAAGAGAAUCGCUAUGAGAUGGACCCGCGUCUGAUUAGCCAGUUGGCAGGGUAAGAGCCUACCAAAGCGACGAUCAGUAGCCGAUCUGAGAGGAUGAACGGCCACAUUGGGACUGAGACACGGCCCAAACUCCUACGGGAGGCAGCAGUGGGGGAUAUUGCACAAUGGGGGGAACCCUGAUGCAGCGACGCCGCGUGAGUGAAGAAGUAUUUCGGUAUGUAAAGCUCUAUCAGCAGGGAAGAUAAUGACAGUACCUGAAUAAGAAGCCCCGGCUAACUACGUG